GUGGGGAAUAUUGGACAAUGGGCGAAAGCCUGAUCCAGCCAUGCCGCGUGUGUGAAGAAGGUCUUCGGAUUGUAAAGCACUUUAAGUUGGGAGGAAGGGUAGUAACCUAAUACGUUGCUACUUUGACGUUACCGACAGAAUAAGCACCGGCUAACUUCGUGCCAGCAGCCGCGGUAAUACGAAGGGUGCGAGCGUUAAUCGGAAUUACUGGGCGUAAAGCGCGCGUAGGUGGUUCAGUAAGUUGGAAGUGAAAUCCCCGGGCUCAACCUGGGAACUGCUUUCAAAACUGCUGAGCUAGAGUACGGUAGAGGGUGGUGGAAUUUCCUGUGUAGCGGUGAAAUGCGUAGAUAUAGGAAGGAACACCAGUGGCGAAGGCGACCACCUGGACUGAUACUGACACUGAGGUGCGAAAGCGUGGGGAGCAAACAGGAUUAGAAACCCGAGUAGUCC
RNAcentral lists this ribosomal RNA (450 nucleotides) under uncultured bacterium. RNAcentral's name for it is "partial 16S ribosomal RNA". It matches the Rfam family "Bacterial small subunit ribosomal RNA", at positions 354 to 796 of the family's 1533-position model. The record is from RNAcentral.